UGGGGAAUAUUGCACAAUGGGCGCAAGCCUGAUGCAGCAACGCCGCGUGAGGGAUGACGGCCUUCGGGUUGUAAACCUCUUUUAGUAGGGAAGAAGCGAAAGUGACGGUACCUGCAGAAAAAAGCACCGGCUAACUACGUGCCAGCAGCCGCGGUAAUACGUAGGGUGCGAGCGUUGUCCGGAAUUAUUGGGUGUAAAGAGCUCGUAGGCGGUCUGUCGCGUCUGCUGUGAAAAACCCGAGGCUCAACCUCGGGCCUGCAGUGGGUACGGGCAGACUAGAGUGCGGUAGGGGAGAAUGGAAUUCCUGGUGUAGCGGUGGAAUGCGCAGAUAUCAGGAGGAACACCGAUGGCGAAGGCAGUUCUCUGGGCCGUAACUGACGCUGAGGAGCGAAAAGCGUGGGGAGCGAAACAGGAUUAGAUACCCUGGUAGUCCACGCCGUAAAACGUUGGGCGCUAGAUGUGGGGGCACCAUUCCACGGGUUUCCGUGUCGCAGCUAACGCAUUAA
RNAcentral lists this ribosomal RNA (506 nucleotides) under uncultured bacterium. RNAcentral's name for it is "partial 16S ribosomal RNA". It matches the Rfam family "Bacterial small subunit ribosomal RNA", at positions 355 to 863 of the family's 1533-position model. The record is from RNAcentral.